AUGUGUGAGAGUAAGCAGGAGGGAGGGAUGGGGUUUCGAGAUAUGGAGGCGUUCAACCAAGCUUUACUUGCCAAGCAAGCUUUGAGAUUGUUACAGGUCCCUUCUUUGCUGUGUGGGCGCGUCCUCAAGGCACGGUACUAUGAUCAUGGCAUGAUCCUUAAUGCAACAUGUCCGGGUGGAGCAUCAUACACCUUUAGAAGCAUUUUGCAUGGU
Molecule: ribosomal RNA, 213 nt
Filed under: Triticum aestivum (bread wheat)
Lineage: Eukaryota; Viridiplantae; Streptophyta; Magnoliopsida; Poales; Poaceae
Description: partial small subunit ribosomal RNA
Source: RNAcentral